UCCAUGGUAGCACUUCAGCAUUUUUUGUGGAGCUUUUGGCUACCUUCAUUGUGCUCUUCCUAACUGCAUCAUUGACAAAUGAUCCUCAAUCAGUAAGAUCUAAUAGCAAAAAUUCCCUCUAAUAUUAUUGGGUAUUGUUUGUAACUUAUCCCUAUUAAUCAAAUAUUGUAUUUUUUGUAGACAGGGCCAUUGUCCGGAUUUGUUGUUGGAGUGGCCAUUGGACUGGCUGUACUAAUUUCUGGGUAAUUUUCGUUGCAAUUUAAGCAUGAGUUGAUCUACAUAUCGUGCAACGGGGUGCAAUCGCAUUCACUGCUUUGAUUCAAACUUUAUAUACUAUAGAAAAUUUAUAAGAUAUAUAUUUUUGUAUAAGUACGUAAAAUGAAAUCAAAAUUGAAACUUCUGCACUAAAGUGAUGUAAAAUGAAAUUGUAACAUACACUAUACCUGAAACUUAUACAUAUAUGAUGAUUUUAAUUACUUAAUCGGAAAAAAUAUCUUAUCUUUUUUUCAUUUUUUGUGUGAUUGCAGGCCUAUUUCAGGAGGAUCAAUGAACCCAGCCAGAUCUUUAGGACCAGCAAUUGUAUCAUGGAAGUUUGGUGGAUUGUGGAUAUAUGUUGUAGCCCCAAUACUUGGAGCUGUUGCAGGAGUUGUCUUGUAUCGACUUUUACGCCUUCAAGGCUGGUCUUGCAAACCUAAUUCCACUCCGACAACAACUCAUCAACAUAAUCCCCUUUAACUAGUAAUUUUUAGCUUAGUAAUAUUGGUGGAAAUUUUAUACACAAAACAUAUAGGUUUGAUUCUCAGGGUUCUCUUCCUCUUUUAAGUCAAGUUAUUAAAAUUUUUGUAUACAUACCCUAAUCAAAACACUCAAAACAACGUGGUUUCUGACAAGCUGUGUUCUUGAAUAGUAACAUAAUUGUACGUUGGUGACCUCAAGAAAGUUGCCACUAAUGGAAAAGGAAGCACAGCUUGAAUGCCCUAUUGGAUAAUGUUUGUGUAAUUUUGUCGUUCUUUUUGCCAUUCUUCGUGACAACUCAAAGUAAAAUGUAUUGCCAACACGUCCCCGUACAUAACAAUGAAUGAAUGCAGAGGAGGUUAGGGAAGAUUGGUUCUUCCAUGUCCUCUGUACANNN
This 1132-nucleotide long non-coding RNA is filed under the name Nicotiana tabacum (common tobacco). RNAcentral's name for it is "long non-coding RNA (NTAB_LNC006815)". The record is from RNAcentral. Lineage: Eukaryota; Viridiplantae; Streptophyta; Magnoliopsida; Solanales; Solanaceae.